RNAcentral lists this transfer RNA (74 nucleotides) under Kibdelosporangium aridum. Its description in RNAcentral is "tRNA-Leu". It matches the Rfam family "tRNA". Rfam says of the family: Transfer RNA (tRNA) molecules are approximately 80 nucleotides in length. Their secondary structure includes four short double-helical elements and three loops (D, anti-codon, and T loops). Lineage: Bacteria; Bacillati; Actinomycetota; Actinomycetes; Pseudonocardiales; Pseudonocardiaceae. The record is from RNAcentral.
ACCCCUGUAGCCCAACGGCAAGAGGCAGCGCGCUCAGAACGCGUCCGGUGCAGGUUCGAAUCCUGCCAGGGGUA